This is a long non-coding RNA of Cygnus olor (mute swan), 1053 nucleotides long. RefSeq lists it as uncharacterized. The record is from RefSeq and is a predicted model, not a curated record. Lineage: Eukaryota; Metazoa; Chordata; Aves; Anseriformes; Anatidae. The transcript has 5 exons.
GAACAGGACAGACUAGUGGGUUAUAUUUUAAUCAUGUUCCCUCUGAUCCUAAAAUACUUGGUCCAAUGAAGGGUGCUAAUAGGGUGAAUAACCCAUAACUUUAGGUAAAGAAAGAUCCUCUACAAAAAAAAAAAAAAAUCGUAUUUUAAUCAUUCAGAGGAUUGUUUAAAUAAUUUUAUGAGACAUUUCAUUCAAAUGAUUCACCUAGCAAGCAAAGUAUAGAAAAGUUUUGAGACUAUAAAUUAUAUUUUUGAGACUAUAAAUUAUAUUUUGAUCACAUAGGAACAUGCUGUAAAUAAAAUUGCAUUUUUUUUCCAAAGCUACAAGACAGGAAGGCCCUAAUUUCACUAGCAAUAAAAUGUUAGCUGUUAUUCAAAAUAUUCAUAUGACAGCCUCAAAGAUAAAGAGAAACAUGCAGUCCAUUAUUUACGCUUUCUAAAGAGAUUGGUAAUUUAAGACUAAACUACCAGUUUCUGCAGAGAAUUACCUCAAAGAAAGCUGUAGCGGCAUGGGUGUCAGUCUCUUUUCCCAAGUACCAAGCAAUAAGGUGUUGGUUUCUUCUGACACAAAUUCCAAUCUCCGCUGAGGAUAACGUGAGCAGAUACAAUUCCUGGCUCAGUCCCUUUCUCAGAUCAUCUGCUGAGGAUCAACCAUGUGUACAAGCACCACUUCCCAGCCAGAUCUAACCAACUCCAGCGUACAGAGUUGUAGCUACAGUGCAAAUCAGCUCAGAGCUAUGCAUGUCACCUGCAAGCAGGACUCCAUCAGGAAACUCCUGCACCUAUUCUUCAUUUCUGGUUUACUGUUCGAGUCAAUAGAAACAGCACUAUGUUUGCUACAUAUUUGUGUUAGCCAAUCCAAAUUUCACAUCGCCCUGACCCUUCCACUGAAAUGGACUAAUUAGGUAGCUGCUGUUACUGGUGGGAUACUGGUGAUGGUGAUAAUGUUCAGGCUGGUUGUGCCAGAAAAGCAUUUUGGGAUGAGAUGAGGCGUUGUGCUCAAAGAGAUGGUCACUGCAGUGAUGGGAAAAGAAAAUAAAUAAGCACAUUCAAA